RNAcentral lists this transfer RNA (75 nucleotides) under Mycobacterium phage Bricole. Its description in RNAcentral is "tRNA-Ile". Lineage: Duplodnaviria; Heunggongvirae; Uroviricota; Caudoviricetes; Vilmaviridae. The record is from RNAcentral.
UGGUAUGGCUACCGGGUACUGCCCCCAGAACUCCGACUUAUCAGGUCGACGUGAUCACUACUUCACCAUAGCCAA